AUACUACUCUUUCCGUCCAACAAAAGAUGUCUCAAGUUUGUCAAAAAUUGAAUGUAUCUAGACAUAACUUAGUGUAUAGAUGCAUUUAAAUUUAGUUAAGGUUGAGACAUCCUUUGUUGGACGAAGAAAGUACUAA
This is a non-coding RNA of Brachypodium distachyon (stiff brome), 136 nucleotides long. The record is from Rfam. NCBI's taxonomy places the organism in Eukaryota, Viridiplantae, Streptophyta, Magnoliopsida, Poales, Poaceae.